This 498-nucleotide ribosomal RNA is filed under the name uncultured bacterium. RNAcentral's name for it is "bacterial SSU rRNA". It matches the Rfam family "Bacterial small subunit ribosomal RNA", at positions 25 to 518 of the family's 1533-position model. The record is from RNAcentral.
CAGGAUGAACGCUGGCGGCGUGCCUAACACAUGCAAGUCGAACGGGGUUAAGGGAAAUUUCGGAUGGACCUUAACUAGUGGCGGACGGGUGAGUAACGCGUGGAUAACCUGCCUCACACAGGGGGAUAGCAGCUGGAAACGGCUGGUAAUACCGCAUAAGACCACGGUGCCGCAUGGCAUUGUGGUAAAAGAUUUAUCGGUGUGAGAUGGAUCCGCGUCUGAUUAGCCAGUUGGCGGGGUAACGGCCCACCAAAGCGACGAUCAGUAGCCGGCCUGAGAGGGUGAACGGCCACAUUGGGACUGAGACACGGCCCAAACUCCUACGGGAGGCAGCAGUGGGGAAUAUUGCACAAUGGGCGCAAGCCUGAUGCAGCCAACGCCGCGUGAGUGAAGAAGUAUUUCGGUAUGUAAAGCUCUAUCGGCAGGGAAGAAAGGCCCUUUAAGGGAGAUGACGGUACCUGACUAAGAAGCCCCGGCUAACUACGUGCCAGCCGCGGC